Molecule: unclassified non-coding RNA, 2370 nt
Filed under: Hevea brasiliensis (rubber tree)
Lineage: Eukaryota; Viridiplantae; Streptophyta; Magnoliopsida; Malpighiales; Euphorbiaceae
Source: RNAcentral
ACUAUAAAUAUAAAUCACUUGCAUUGCAACUUUACCAGAACAUCUCUUCCCUUUAAUAUAAAAAUAAUUAAAAAAAAAGGUUGUAUCUUAUCUACGUUACAAGUACAUCAAUGUCAUCAGUAACAUUUUAAAUAUGAACACCGAUUUACAAACAACACAAGCUGCAAACAGAAUUGAGGGGAAACACAAGCACGAUAAAUCUUUACAAUCACCCCAAUGAAGCGUUCGUGCAUUCUAAGCAUUUAUUCACCAUUUCAACCAUCGAGCAUAGCUGAAGUACAAACAUUCUCCUCCUAUUAAACAUGGCAGCUCAAUAUUAAAUCAAUGGAAAUGCCAAUAUCAUACAUCUUCUUUAACACAUCAGCUAGCACCCAUAAUUUCAUGACAGUCGAAUAUUUCUCUCAGUGCAUCAGAAAUCUUGGUGCUUCAUCACCACUAGCCUUUAAAGCAUUAGCUUCUCAUGAAUUAACUAUUCCUUCCUGCUUGAUCGAUCAAGGUGCCAACUUGAUUUCCACAUAAUGCUCUUGAAAUAUUCCCAGGCUCGAGCAAAUUAAAGACUACAACUACAGGGAGGGAACAUUACAUCAGUACAGUACAAAAAGGGCGGGGUAGGAAAGAGGUAAAUGGUGCAAUUAAAAAAGUGUUCAGUAUAGGUAUGACAAACCAGGAAUUCCAUUUUCUUCACAGUAUGUAAUUGCCAUCAUGUCCAUGAAGGUAACACCCCUAGAAACCACUUCCCUGAAAGACAUGUGAUCCAGUAUUAUGCUCGUAUUAGCAGAGUGACAAUCAUAGAUGCCGGCAACGUUUGUACCUUUAAGGAGUGCAUCUGCAUUAACUGACACAAAUAUAUGGAUAUCAGAAAUUCAUUCUGAAAAAUGUAAAGUAAAUUAUAAGGAAGAGCAGAACACAGCAAUACUCUCAGAAGCCCUCAAAGCUGCUGCUGUAUCAGUAGUAAAUAGUGGAUUUCCAGCACCAGCACCCACGCCACCAAAUAUGACAACUCUUCCUUUCUCAAGAUGUCGUAUAGCUCGCUGCCUAUUGUAAGGUUCAACUAACUCUGGCAAUGUGAAUGCACUUUGCACACGGGACUGAAUACCCAGCUUCUCUAAAGCUGACUGAAGCAAUAUAGAAUUCAUCACUGUUGCCAUCAUACCAAUCUGAUAUGCUGUAGGUCUCUCCAAUCCAGUAGCAGAUAUCCAUGAGUCUCCACAAAAGAAGUUACGACCCCCAACAACAAUUGCUACCUCCAGCCCAACACGACAAGCUGCUGCUACUUCCCUCGCAAUCUGCAUUGCCACCUUGGGAUCAAUGUUCUGGCAGUUUCCAGCCAAUGCAGAACCACUAAUUUUAAACACUACUCUUUGCCAUUUUAAAUUAGGCACUGACUUAGCUUUCAUGUUGUUUGCAAAGGCAGCAUUGGUUGGCGUAAAUCUCUUCACUGCUCUAGCCAUCAAGUUACCAUUUCCACCACUUCCUGCAUCACAUUCACUAUCUACACUCGCACCAGCCUUAGCAUUUGUAGAAUUGCCCAUAAUUGCCUCAAUCUGCUUGAACCAAUGCCAACUACUAGUACCACUACUUCCAAAUCCUCCACUACUAUUAUUGAUCCUUUGUAACUCCACUUUAUAUCUUUUCUUUAAAUUAUCAAUCUUGUUCUUACACUGCUCUACGCUCUUCUUGUUAUUGCUCCCUCCUCUAUCGCUCACCGCCUCCGCCACUUCCUCCCAGUCUCUCCCCCUCAAAUUCCCCCUGUUCAGCUGGUUGUACUUCUCCGUGUACGACUCCAGCAAGCAAGAUAUUGCUGUGUCGCUCCAUUCUUCACGGUCCUUCCGAUAAUCAGAGCGGCACUCGCCAGAGUUAGCAUUGAUGUUUGAUUCCGAUUCUACGUUAAUGCCGUUUGGUUUAUGCCUUUUGCUGCUGCUGUUGUUGUAAUAGUAGGGGUGGUGCUGGUUCUGAUUCUGGUGGUUUCGAUUCGAGGAUGGUGUCGCUGGGGCUCCGGGUCCGGAUUUAUCCGGUUCGGAGUCUGCGUAGGAAGAGAAGUAGUCUCCGCCGUUGACGGAUUCAGCAUCAGGGUGGCGCGUUGGCGCGUGAGGAGGAGGCGCGUGGGAGUCGUUGAUGAGAGGGAAGUCGUCGGUGGCCAUGCGAGAGAGGGAAAGGAAGAUUAGGUGAGGUUUAGGGAUUGGAAUUAGAGUGAGAGAGAAAGACGACGUUACGGUUAAAGUGACGGCCAGUGAAGAGAUGGGUGAGAGAACCGGUGACGGAGUGAGCCAGGUUGAAGUUGUUAGGCAGAAACCUAGACACGGGUUUGUAACGGAUCCGUUUAAACAGAGAAGAAACGGGUGUUUCUGGUUAGAUUUUUGGAGAAAUUAU